This 268-nucleotide ribosomal RNA is filed under the name uncultured bacterium. RNAcentral's name for it is "partial 16S ribosomal RNA". It matches the Rfam family "Bacterial small subunit ribosomal RNA", at positions 88 to 354 of the family's 1533-position model. The record is from RNAcentral.
AUGGCGACCGGCGCACGGGUGAGUAACGCGUAUCCAACCUGCCCCUUACUAUGGGACAGCCCGUCGAAAGGCGGAUUAAUACCGUAUGUUGUCAUGUUGAUGCAUAUUUUCAUGACCAAAGGCUUCGGCCGGUAAAGGAUGGGGAUGCGUCUGAUUAGCUUGCCGGCGGGGUAACGGCCCACCGGGGCGACGAUCAGUAGGGGUUCUGAGAGGAAGGUCCCCCACAUUGGAACUGAGACACGGUCCAAACUCCUACGGAAGGCAGCAG